UUUGUCGGUUUGUGAAUGAGCUACCACCUUCUUUUGCUGUGCGUUUUCAAUUUUGCUUGCAGCUCGCGUGACUCACAUUUGUUUUCAUUGUAGCUACAGCUUGGUUCUUUUUGUUUUAUUAGAAAAAAGGAUAAAAGACAUGGUGAGAUAAAAGAGAUGGAUAACUUGUUUAAUAUGGAUUAAUUGGAUUUUGUGAGAUAAAAGAAAUGGAUAUGGGUUAACAUGGAUUAAUUGGAUUUUGUGAGAUAAAAGAGAUGGAUAUAUAAAAAAAAUGGAUCAUGGUUAAAUUGGAUUGUGUUAAAAUCAAACUAAAUGGAUUAUGGAUUAUGAUUUGGAUAAUAAAAUGGAAUUAUUUGGAAAAUGG
RNAcentral lists this long non-coding RNA (364 nucleotides) under Lathyrus oleraceus (garden pea). Its description in RNAcentral is "Pisum sativum (pea) long non-coding RNA (PSAT_LNC025278)". Lineage: Eukaryota; Viridiplantae; Streptophyta; Magnoliopsida; Fabales; Fabaceae. The record is from RNAcentral.